UACGUAGGGUGCGAGCGUUGUCCGGAAUUAUUGGGCGUAAAGGGCUCGUAGGCGGUCUGUCGCGUCGAAAGUGGAAACCCAGGGCUUAACCCUGGGCCUGCUUCCGAUACGGGCAGACUAGAGGUAUGCAGGGGAGAACGGAAUUCCUGGUGUAGCGGUGAAAUGCGCAGAUAUCAGGAGGAACACCGGUGGCGAAGGCGGGUCUCUGGGCCGAUACUGACGCUGAGGAGCGAAAGCGUGGGGAGCGAACAGG
This 253-nucleotide ribosomal RNA is filed under the name uncultured bacterium. RNAcentral's name for it is "partial 16S ribosomal RNA". It matches the Rfam family "Bacterial small subunit ribosomal RNA", at positions 524 to 776 of the family's 1533-position model. The record is from RNAcentral.